Molecule: microRNA precursor, 93 nt
Filed under: Drosophila ananassae
Lineage: Eukaryota; Metazoa; Arthropoda; Insecta; Diptera; Drosophilidae
Description: mir-1010 microRNA precursor family
Rfam family: mir-1010 microRNA precursor family
Source: Rfam by way of RNAcentral
UCGUGCUUAACGGGUAAGUGGUGUAGAUGAAACAAAUUUACCAACAAUAUUUUUGUUGGAUUGUUUCACCUAUCGUUCCAUUUGCAGCUAUGA